Molecule: long non-coding RNA, 1672 nt
Filed under: Citrus sinensis (sweet orange)
Lineage: Eukaryota; Viridiplantae; Streptophyta; Magnoliopsida; Sapindales; Rutaceae
Description: long non-coding RNA (CSIN_LNC002381)
Source: RNAcentral
GCCUCUUCAAUUAUGACAUAGCUAGAUGACAUUUUCAAGUUUGAACCUCAAUUAACAUUUCUUAAUCAUGCUGUUAGUUACUUCACAUACGCGCAAACUCUCGAAGCAUUGAAAUCCUUCAAUUAUAUAUAAUUUAAAAUAAACGAAUAAUUCUCUAGUUUCUCAACGUAACACGGGGCAUCGUGAGUAAUGAAAAAUUAUUCUUUUAUUUUUUUAUUUUUUGGGUCAACCAGUCAACCUCAAACUACCUCCAAAUUGAAGUUGAACCUAUGUUGAUGUUGCCCACCACUCUUUUUUUUUUUUUUCUAUUUUCUUUCCAAAUUCUCAUAGCAUGCACUUUUUCUUGUGAUAAAAGCAUGAGCCAAAGAUCAUCCCUCCAAUCGACUAAUGCCCAUUUUUUGUAUCCUAAGUGGAGAAAACCUAAAUCGUUAUAUAUUAUUUAUUCAGGCAAAAUUUGAAGAUCCCGCUACUGAAAACGGUAACCUAGCCCGCCGUUUGAAAUUUGCAAUCCACUUGAAGCAUCGGUCUGUGUAAUCUGAUCACGACUUUCCAUCAUCACGUGCACAUGUCUUGGUAAGGUAAAACCGAUACAUCCUGUUCAAGUCAAUCCGGCAUGCCGGCCACUUAUCCUUUUCAGCAAUGGGAUGCACAAAUACAAGUUCAAUAUUUUGACAUUACAAAUUUACACCCGCCUCGUGUUUGCAAGCCAUGACCCAGCACCUAUCCCAAUUACAACGUUACGUGGCCUCUUCUGUAACCCUAACAGUAGACACAUUGAAUAAUUAUGGGCCAGUCGGUCACCCCUUUAUUGAAUCGGUGGUGCGAGAGCAUGACACGCAUCCUCUCGAGUCAUUGUCAACCGUUCAUAAGAUUCCGUUUGUGGUGGGCUCAGGCCACGUGGGUGAGAACUGAGUCUGAGCCGAGUGUUGCAGAAAAGUUUGGCAUUGAGGGAUAUAAACCCUUAUCCAUCCGUCUGAGAGAAAGUAUCAAAAAUAAAUUAACACUUUGAAUGCAUGCAUACUGACUGAUUUGUGACCCCAUUACAGGUUGGAGAUUUAUGAUUGGGACGGAUUAGGAAAUUAAAGCUGCAACAACAAGGGGCCGGGCAUGCAUGGUAUUGGUUCCUAGAAAUUUGUUUGGGCUAUGAGAAUGUUGCGAAUGCGAAUGCGAUUCAAUAAAAAUCCAAGCUGUCGGGGGAGGAUUUUUUUUUUUUUAACCUUCUUUCGCCCCUAUUUGUCAUAAAUGGAGAUUGGAGAACCGUCAUGAGUUGAGUGGGGAUCGAUAUCAUCAAUCCGUCGUAGAAAGCUUGAACAAGAAUCAUGAUGAAUGUGUAGCAUGUUACCCGCCUGGAGGAAAUGGUCGAAAAUCUCAUAUCUGUAUAUAUAAGCUUCCAUUCAGAAACAAACUGCCACAUGUGUCUUACAUAUAUAUUAGCAAAAUAAAUAUAAUAUUACUCAAUAUUUUACAUCACAAAUUUACUAAUAAAUAUAUCUUAAGUCUUAUCAGUCCAUUCUAAUGUAUGUCAGUCCUUUCUGGAUGUAUCAAAAUUGAAGUUUCAAUUCAUAAAUUUGUUUACAAAGAAGGAGAAAGAAGGAGAAAGUAUACUUCCACAAACAUUUGUUUAUGUUCAUGUUCUAUGACAAACAUGUAUUUGCAAGGAAAAAAUAUCCCC